GGCGGACGGGUGAGUAACACGUGGGCAACCUGCCUGUAAGACUGGGAUAACUCCGGGAAACCGGAGCUAAUACCGGAUAGUAUCUUGAACCGCAUGGUUCAAGUUGGAAAGACGGUUUCGGCUGUCACUUACAGAUGGGCCCGCGGCGCAUUAGCUAGUUGGUGAGGUAAUGGCUCACCAAGGCAACGAUGCGUAGCCGACCUGAGAGGGUGAUCGGCCACACUGGGACUGAGACACGGCCCAGACUCCUACGGGAGGCAGCAGUAGGGAAUCUUCCGCAAUGGACGAAAGUCUGACGGAGCAACGCCGCGUGAGUGAUGAAGGUUUUCGGAUCGUAAAACUCUGUUGUUAGGGAAGAACAAGUGCGAGAGUAACUGCUCGCACCUUGACGGUACCUAACCAGAAAGCCACGGCUAACUACGUGCCAGCAGCCGCGGUAAUACGUAGGUGGCAAGCGUUGUCCGGAAUUAUUGGGCGUAAAGCGCGCGCAGGCGGUUUCUUAAGUCUGAUGUGAAAGCCCCCGGCUCAACCGGGGAGGGUCAUUGGAAACUGGGAAACUUGAGUGCAGAAGAGGAGAGUGGAAUUCCACGUGUAGCGGUGCAAUGCGUAGAGAUGUGGAGGAACACCAGUGGCGAAGGCGACUCUCUGGUCUGUAACUGACGCUGAGGCGCG
This 672-nucleotide ribosomal RNA is filed under the name Bacillus sp. MJBC14. RNAcentral's name for it is "bacterial SSU rRNA". It matches the Rfam family "Bacterial small subunit ribosomal RNA", at positions 97 to 755 of the family's 1533-position model. Lineage: Bacteria; Bacillati; Bacillota; Bacilli; Caryophanales; Bacillaceae. The record is from RNAcentral.